GAGUUCUGAGUAAUGAUUGCUACAAUGAGUUUACGACCAAGAUGAUAAGACAUUUCAAAUCUUCAAAUUGCAUUUUACUGCUUUUACAUUUAAACUGUACAUUCUCUUUCUCCUGGAAGUGCUUCAAUCCUGUAACUACAGUAGAGUACGUUCACUCUUGUCCAGAAAAUCGUCAGUCAUGGAAUCGUGCUGCUGAAAGAAAAAACUGUUCUGUGCACCCACCAACUUGUCUGCAUCAAGAAAGACCAUUAUAUCACUGUGUGACGAAUCCGUGGAUUAAUGCAACUUUGGAAGUCUGUGCUCCUGAAACGUCCGUCGUUGGGUAUUACUGUCCUGAAUUUAACCUUGAAGGGGAAAUAAUUCAAGAAAAUUACCAGGUACUUUGUAAGGAAGCCUCUGUCGCUUGUCCGUUUUAUUAUUAUUCAACUGAGGUUU
Molecule: long non-coding RNA, 435 nt
Organism: Saccostrea echinata
Lineage: Eukaryota; Metazoa; Mollusca; Bivalvia; Ostreida; Ostreidae
Exons: 3
Source: RefSeq, a predicted model, not a curated record